This 696-nucleotide small RNA is filed under the name Histoplasma ohiense. Its description in RNAcentral is "hypothetical lncRNA". Lineage: Eukaryota; Fungi; Ascomycota; Eurotiomycetes; Onygenales; Ajellomycetaceae. The record is from RNAcentral.
CCCAACACUGGCGCCCCCUUGCCAAGGCAUACGUUUCUCAUUUAUUCUUGAUUAUUCAUUCCUGAUCUUUGAUUGAUGAGGUUUACCUCCUUAUUACGCAAAGCCAAUCUAAACGCUGGUCUUUCCAAACCAUGGGAACGAUAAUGGGGAAGCGGAAAUCUGUUUCUGCUGAUAUCCUGAAACGUGCAGCUGCCAUGGGUCAGCCCGGUGCAAGCCCGACAGUUGCCGCUCGCCUGAGUUGAGUUGUUGGCUCAUGAAAUGAGAUAAUGAGAAAUCAAGAAAAAAGAAAAUGGAUUUAAUCGUCAAACCCACGGUUACCAGUCAGUAAUGACUUAUACUGCCGCGAAGUCCUCACGCACACCCUGGUGCAAGGGCAGAAUUGGUUUGGCGUUUCCUGCAGCGGAUUCUUCUUGCCCUUAUCCUACAGCCAGGGGCCGGCCGUGAGUCGGUGGUAUAUAUUUAAAUAACUCUAGGACUUGAUAGAUGGCUAAACGCUAUGCACACGCUGUAUACUAUCAAUACUAGCCACAAACACUGAAUUCCCCCUACCAAGGAGGAGUGCCAAUGGAAGGGAGUGCACCGCGAUGAAUGUGUGUGUAGUGUUCAGGAAAUACGGCCACUUUAGAGGCCGGACUCAUACGAGGGGCAUGAUUCCAGCCCCAGGGCCAGAUAGAGACAGACAGAUACAACUACAGC